UCUUGCCUAGUAGGUAUAUUUUCCUCUCUGGGCUUAGAAAACUCAGAAACCUAUUUGCCUGAGAAAGGUGUCUUACAUCAAAGCAAAGUCUUUUCUGCUUCCAGAAGACUCUUCUCAGUGCUGAGUGUUAUCUGGCAGAAACGCCUGUGCCUCAUGUUUGUUCCCUCUCUGGUAGCCUCUAAUGUUUUUGAGAUCUCCUCUGAACAUUUUUACUUCUCCAUUCCCUUCCUGAGCAAAGCUGCACCUGCCAGUUGGACCCGGUCAGCUCUGCUGCCUGGACACUGCUCAGGCUGAGGCUCAAGGGAUUUCCACAGUCCUCUGGCUCUGCCCAAGUUCUUUCACAUUGAACAGGACUGAACUUCUCCCGCUGGGGACCAUGUGGAGCCUGUACCAUUCAUUUGUGCACAAAUGCCCUUUUCCUGGAUAAGAUUUUACCAAACUUGGAUAGAUGGAGUGGUUUCCUGCUUUAGUGAUGCCUACACUCAAGAUUCGAGAACAAAGGCAGAAAACUUUGCAAUGAUACAGUUAUACACCUGUUCAACUCAAAUGGACAUUUUUAAGGAAUGGAAAAAUCAAACAUCAGGCCCUACUAUCCUACUCUGAUAGUGAAAGAGAGACAUGAGAGAUGGAUAUGUGAUAUUGUUCAAGGUGCCUUGCAAAAUCAUCCUUCUGCUCCUUUAUUUGGCACUCUCGCAUAGAAUGUGUCCCUUGUUCUGCAGUAAGUCUCACAGGACUGAAAGCAGCUGAAGACCAUUUCAGUAUCUAAGCUAAUUUAGACAAGUCUCAAAGAAGAGAACACAAGCUUGUGGCACCAGCAGUAAUCUGCUUCUAAAAUCAUGGGAAAUGAUAAUAGCCCAGGAAACAAGACCAUGGUCAAGAAGAGUCUGAGAAGAUGAAAGGGAAGGAACAUAAUGAAAAAUCUACCUAAAGCAUAGAAAAGCACCAGUUGUGGGGAAAACCAUCACAUCUCCUUGGAUACUUUCAUACUUUCACAUUCUGCUCUCCCUUCAGGAACUGCUGGUUUGGUAUUGCAUGAACAGGAGGGAUCCUGGACAACAGUGUAGGCAUUUGAACUUUCUACAAAUAAAUGAAACAUCUUCUCCCACCAGAAGUUUGAAUUCCAGUGGAUUGUUCAAAAAAAUCUGUUUAUGGUAAGUGAAAAUAUGACCUCUGAGAUUCAACAUGUGACUAUACAAACUCUUUUGUCCAGAGAAGGUUUAUCAAGAACUGAAUUAGUAUGAAAAUCAUGGCCAAAACCUUUUCUCAGAUUAGGGAGAAUGAAGAAUAAAAGCUAAAUUUCAGACUUUUCCAAAGGAAGAAGUAGUUUCUUCUCCUUAAUCUUUUCCUUUCUUUUCUAAAUACAAACACAUUUAAAAAAUCAUUCUAACCAUUAGCGCUGCUCAUAUGCAGGUGUAAACUUUCCUGCUCAUGGCUCAUCAGCCAAGAUUUAUCAGAGACAGUGUCCUUUAUGUUUUGGUAAGAUAGCAACCUUCUUUAGCCUGUAAGGGUUAAAAUAUUAAUAGUUACCUGUAUUCUGUGCCUGUAAGAGUUUAGAAUCUGCAAGAUACAUUUCUGAUCUGCCCUGUUCUUGUGAUUUUACCUACCUUUAAUUUGCUUGAUUUAAAAGUUAUUUUUCCUGUCUGUAUUUCUGCUGAGACUCCCUGGUACAUGGCAAAAUAUGUGAUCCUCAGUGUUCUGCUCACCAUAAUAAAAUUCUUUCCAAUAAAUAAACUCUGUUAGGUGUCCCUUGUUGAGCAAGUAAAUCUCCACUUCCAGCUAUAGGAUUUCCUUUGAACAAGAAAAGAAGUUAUUAUAGAAUUCUUCCCCACUCGCCAACAGUUUCUGCAAUGCAAACCAAAUGGCCUGGCAUGACAGAACAAUCUUCCUAUAUAUCUAAUAAUUACAUUUGUAAACAGACUCCAGUGGUCAUAGCUAUGAAUUGCUGGGUCAUAUCUGUGAGCAUGUUUGCAAUCCCUUUCUGCCAUCUGGGAAAUUAAGACCAUGAGAGAUAUCUGUGUCAUAUCCACACUGGGAAAUUUGCAGCUAGAUCUUUCAGGACAGCAUUUGGACUGAAUAGUCCAAAGGACUGGAGGGAGGGAAAGAAUUUUGCUGCACUACAGUGUGAGAACUACUGUGCAAAUGCAGGCUUUUUGUAAGUAUUUGUUUUAUUAUGUAGCCCACCCCCCCUCAUUCCAUGGUCUUUCAGGAAAGUCAAAAUUUGUCUGCAUAAUUUAGAAAACAAUCCUGCUAGUACUGUAAACAGUGUUUUUAUUUUUCAUGUAAUUUGAAAUGCUUUAAGUGCAAUAACAGUUAAUGAAGAAUGCUACACUUGGUGUUGUAAAGAGCUAUCACUUGUGGCAGACGGACCUCCCCAUCCCCCAAAAGCAUCAGAAACUUCUAGACCAAUAGACCACUAUGGUCAUGCACACACCCCUUGGUUGACAGACAAGGCCCUUGACAAAUGAAAUGCCUUGGAGCAGUGGGUGUAUAGUGGAGUACUUCUUAGACUGGCACACCAUCUAUGGAAGGUUCCUUGAGCACUGAAACACCUUGUCUUACUGGUAACCAAUCUUCUGGGUACUCUUGAGUGACCUCACUUUUUGUGAGAGGGGAGAUAUGCAUCAUUCUAGAAUCAUCACUCUAGAAUUUUUGGAUCCUUUGAGUCUGAAUUGACUGUGUAGUAAUUGAACGCCUAACCAGUAUUUGAAUCUGUGUUUUAUAAUGUUGUUGGAGUGUUGAGUAAUUUUGGAUAAACCCCAUUUCUAGUUGGUUCUUCACUAAAUAGUUUUGGUUAGAAUAAAGUCUGUUUGGAGCUUAUUGCUUGUCUAAAUUGAUUUUUGGGGUGCUUCCAUGACAUCAAUGCAUUAAUGUUUACAUAAUCAAAACACGAAUCAGUGCAUUUUGAAAAGAUAUUUGGAAUGUAGUUAAAAAAUUAUAGGAAUCUCUACAAGAGGACAAAAUGUUUAAUCUUGCCUCAUGGAGACAAAAAAAAAAAGUAACCUGGUGAAAGAAGUGCUUUAACCUUGGGAAGGACUUAUUUUUAUAUUUGCAUGAGAAUCCAGUAAAAUUAUGCCAUGUGUAAUAUUAUUGAUCAUAGAAAGCUCUCAGGUGCAAUUAAAUUUUGUGUGCCAGUUGAAUUGGCAUGUACAGAAAACAUAUGUGGCCCAAAGAUGUAUGGUUCCUUUUUGUGGCUUUUAGUUCCUGCUCCCCAAAACAAGUACAUGUUUUGUUAAUUUAUGAGUUUGCUUUAAAUUGCCUCUGAUGUCUUGUUUGUUUCCUAACAACAGACAGACUGAGAUACAAUAUGAAUUCCUGGAGUGUAAACUGACCUCACGCAUCCAAAGAGAGCAUGAAACUUCACAGCUUAACUUUGGCUUUGGGCAUUGUAAUGACUGAAAGCCAGAUACUCCAUGGUGCAAAUUAAUUUUCCUCGUCUGACUUCAGUGACUUGCACAAAUUUACAGCAGCUGAACAUAUGACCUUACACUCAGAGCCAAUUGCCCAUAAGAGAUACAGACAGCUCUGUGAAAUGAAAAGAAUUUAGAUUUUUCAGUUCUUCUCCUGACAUUUUUUCUCAUUCAUUUCCUUUUUGCCUCCUGAUGCCUUUGGGAAUGAGGCAAGAGGAAUGGCAUUUAAGCUUGGUUCAGUGAAACUGCAGACUACAGUGGUAUAUUAGAUUAAUAUAUUAUGACUCUGUAGCUUUUAUGUAUAUAUUAUCCUUGUACUACAGGGCUAAAUUAUGCCCACAUAUCCCUGCACGCAUAUUCUCAAUUUGCAUUGCAGAUGCAUACCUCUAUGUGAAAACAAAAUAUGAUUUUUAGAAUAUUUUGCUAGUAUCUGUUAAUUUUUUCUAUAUACCAGUGAUCCCAAUUCAUCUGCAAAUUUAGCGACAUUUUCUUUAUUUUAAUAUAUGGUGGCACCAUGGCUAAUAAACUGAAGAUAUGACUUAUUUUUACAUUUUCUGUUUUUUAAAUCAAUUUUGUACUCAUUCAACUGUGCAAGUAUGGAAAUUAUCUUCCAUUACGUUAUACAUAUUUUACAGAUGUUUGUACAGCAACUUUAGACAGGGACAAGCUGUUAGGACGCAUGACAAGCCAGAGUAUUUUUCCCCAUCUGUAUUCAAAGGACUUCAGCAAAUCAAUGCUUGUAUCCUUCUUUCUAAGGAAUGCUUCUUGUCAGUUGAGGUAAAUGUGUUUUAUCCAGAUACUUUCUUCUGAUUCUGAGGGAACAGAUGUUCUGCCUCUGUUUAGAGCCUGUGUAAGAGCAAAGACUGAUGAAAAUUGUCUGUGAAGUAGCAGCAGCAUUAAACAAGCUUUUCCAAAGUAUAUUGUUAGAGCUCUUAGUAAGUCAUAUAUCUAUAUUCCUUUAAAAGCAGACUUCUGAAAGACUGAUUACCUUUCCUUAUCAUGGUACUAGAUAAAUGUCUUUUGGCUAGAUUCCUGUGCUGAGUUUUUAAUUUAACUAUUUUGCUAAUAACAUUUAAUUUACUUAUCUAGCUCACUGAAAAGAGGAAUCAGUUGUCAGUAAAAUGUGGUGAUAUUUUUGUUUUUAUUCAAAGGAUGUUUCUUUUACAGUAUCUCAGUUAAAAAAAUCAAUUUGAUUAAAAACAGAAUUCCUGAAAUCAACCAUACCUGUUUCUUCCCACUGAGUACAUCCUCAAGAUAACUACCAUCUAACAGUCUUAGCAUUUUAUAAACAAGACCAAAAUGCCAUAGCAUGUCUCUAUAGAAAGCAAUAAACAGAAAGGCAUGUUACAAUAUAUGAUGAGUUAGAGCUAAGCAGUCCUCACCCAGCCUCUUUGUGGAACUGAUUGUGGUUCCGCAUGGUAAUAACUAAUUAACAGUUUCAUGCCAGGUUCUCUUAAAGGUCUAAUUCUUCGUAAUAUCUUUUUCCAAUCACAGGAAAACAACGUUAGCAAAAUGUUGGCUGUCAAUAUUAUUGUAAUGCUGAAUUUCACACACAUGUGAACAAGCUAUUGAGAAGCAGGGAAUAUUCAUUCAGCCUCUGAGCAGCUCUGUGCUACUGAGUCCCCUGUAGGUAUGAAAUAUCUGCACCAUAGUUGCUAGGAGACAGUAAGACUAUUAUUCCUCGCUGCAACACUGCAACACAACCUGGGUCUAUCUCACUUAGGGCAUCCCUGUACUCUGGGCAAAUCCUGCAUGGAAACUCCAUAAAGCAGUAAAACAAUUUCAGCAAGGUACUGGGUCUCAGCUAAGUAAGUCCUGCAUGGACGGUGUAAAAAUACAAGUUAGCAAUGGGAAGCAGAAGAAAAGAAAAAUUUCCUUCAUCUUCCUCAAAAUUACCCAACUAUCUUAGGUUUGUCAGUUUCUUAAUAUUCUCCAAACACAUAAAUUUUCAGUAUCCAAAGGUAUUUUAUUAAACUCCCUAUUAAAAAGGUAGUGUUCUUAUUCUUGUUUGUGUGUUCUUAGUCCUUUUUCUUCAAGAGUUUGCCAUUUUCAAAAUGACAGGUUUCUUAUUGCAGCUCUAGCAUCUUUUAUGAAAGAAAAUCAGAUUUUAAUUCAUCCCAAUCAUGUAUAAAAUGCAGCAUAUGUUUCUAGUGAAAUAUUGAUAUGAUUAUUGCUGCUGAAAGUCUCAAAUUGCCCAUGAUUUUGGUUUCUCUAGGAAAAGUAAAUUUGCUGUUAAGAUAACAGAAUGGGACUCAGCAGGAUCAUAGGUUUUAUGGAAAGAGUUACACUGGAGAUCUCUUAAAAUUUCUUUCAUAGCACUGCACAUUGCAUUUCUUCAAGUGAUUCUGAAAUACACCCAUAACUUUUGAAAUAUCUGGAACAUGAGUGUAAGUUUAUUCUUGAUUCUGCCAUAUACCUUUUGCCAUUUAUUUCACAUGUUUGCACUUUGGUUGCCUCAUCUGUGUAUAAUGGAAUAAUAAUAUUUCCUCUUGUACAGAGCAGAAAUUUAUUCAUGGCUGAGAUUUUUUUAGAUGCCACGGAGACUGAAAGUAUCUAAGACAAAAAGUGAGAGAUUCCCUACUAAGUGGUAGUGGUUGUUGGAAGACAGAGGACAGAAAAGCAGUUCCAAACUCUUUCUGGUACUUUGAGGCCACAAAAAGUUUGCUCCUUGAAUUUUUGCAACCCUUUAGGAAACAUAAUUUAUCAGUAGAACACAAAUGUUUCCUUAAAUCUCGAAAAUUCAAUUUAGAAUGUAGGAUUUAAGAGUAUUUUUAUCUACCUUCAUGCAGAAUCAAGCUGAAGGUACUCUGAGUGCACAAGCAGUGAUUUACUAUCUAAUCAAGAUGUAUGGCUUAGAUUUAUUAUGGCUGUUUCAGAGGCUUGGUUCUUCUGGCAUAAAGCUAGGUGAAGGCCUUGUUGAAGUUGAGUGAAUUGCUCCUGUGAAGGAGACAGGAAGUGAAAUUAGGUUUUCCAACAAGCAGGCAGACAAAAAUGCUUUAUGGUGUGCUCAUGCCUCACUUAUAUGACUCAGCAAUAACCAGAUGGUGACAUCAUAUCAUGUGUCAUUCUGUUUCAAAACUAGCUGAAUUGAGAACUACAUCCAUGUUUAGCAAACUCUGCAAGACCAGGGCAGACUCCUGUAGGGAGGAGUACAGAUAUCUGACUUACACUGUUAUGGGAACAUCGUACUUUCGGGACCCCUGAAAAUCAGGGCUAAUCACAGUGCCCCACACACUGUCAUUUGUAAAUUUCAAAACACUUUAAAGGCAUCAGUGCUGACUGAUUUACCUAAUGAGAGACAGCAUUUUGGAUUUGUUCUCGUGAUGCUGAGGGCGUAAGAAAGGAGUCCAUUAAUCAUUCUGCGUGUUUGUUGUGGUGUGUGUGCUGCACUUUUUUUUUUUUUGAAUAUGAGUACUCUAGAUUUACAUAAAAAUCUUGUCCAACAUAAAAUACCUAACUGAUUUAUGAGUGAACUUUCAGAGGAGAUGGAAAUAUACUUUCUGAUGUAUGAAAGAAGUUAUUUCCAUUGUGGAAACCACAUUGGGUAAGUAUUGCAGGUUCUGUUUCACAGGUUGCCCAGAAAACUCUUUUGGCUUUGGGCUAUUUAGCAGCCCCACUGCAAGUUCUGUAAAAUAUCAGCAAUGGUGAAAAUUUUUGGAGCCCUUUGGGAAAUUAGGCAAAAGACCGUCUUCAAAUAUCUUUUGGAAGGAAGUGGGCAUCUAACUCUUUCAAAUUCAGGAUUCAUUUUCAAGUACAGUAAAAACAGAAAUCAAGUUAACUUUCUUACUCAUAGAAGAAAAAAAUAUUCUCUAUAUUACUGUGGCUUUAAAGCCAGAAGACAGAGAGAUUACAGUGAGACAGCAAGAGAGUUUAAUUUACUUCAUCUGCAUGAAGCACCCUCUUUAUUUACUGUACAAAACUCAAGAGUUUCAAGAUGUGCAGUCAGCUAUGUAAUGCAACAGAUUGGUCAAAUUUAAGUGCAUUAUAAUAAUAGUUUAAGUGGAUUAUGAAGAACCAAAUCUAAACAGAAGAUAUACAUUUAAUCUGCAGAUCACAGGUUGUAAGACCUACACAGAAAUAAAUGGAAUUCCUUUGUUUCAGCACUGCUCAAAUGAGUGAAACUUAAUAUUGAGGUUGUCCCACUUCAGAGACUAUAGUAAAGUAUUAAGGCUAAGUUACUACUAGUCUUCCCCACAUUUAAAAGGCAGUAGGUAAGUCUUACUGUGAAGCUGAGGUCUUAAUUUUGUGACUUUUUCUCAAGAAAUUUUUUUCAAAUAGGGGAAUCACUUUUCCUAAUAUUCUAUGUCUACCUUACAAAUAACUAAGAAUGGACUAUUUAUGCAGAAAUUUUUGCCACUCAUAACAAACUCAUCUCUGUGUAGAAACCACUUUUAGUCUAUAUGUUGUCCUAUUGAUAGGAUACAUUCUAAAAUAUUAGGAGUAUACCUGGAAAGUAUCAAAAUGAUUUAUGUUAAUAAAAUAUUGACUGUGUACACAUGAUGAUCAGACUGUUUUUCUAUGUCUGAAAAACAAUAUAACUAGAUAGGAUUUUCUCUAUUACAGUAGGAGAGAUAUAAUUAAAAUCCACCAGAAGAAAUGCAUCUUGGGCUGGCCUGUAUUGCCACAGGGAAGAAGUUCCAAAAGAAAAUCCAUUUGCUGAACUAUGCUGUUCUGUAGCAGAAAAAUCCCCAAACCAGCAUUCAUUGCGUGGGAAGAUUCAUGGUGCAGGCCCAUUACUGCUUUAUUUUUUACAGAUAAUGUAUUCUGUUCCUCACAUAAAAAUUAUCUCUAUGUUUGCAUCUGCAGUCUCACCUUUAUUAUCAAGUUGCGGUCAGAAAGGAAAAACAAUUUAUAUAAACAGGUACUUUUACUUCCUGGGACUUGAUUACAAGUAGCUCUUUCAACGCUUAUCCUCACUGAAAAUGCUUCAGGUUUCAUGAGGUUGCUUUUCAACUUUAUAGACAAAAUUCUCUAGGCUUUCUCAUUGGAGAAAUAAGGAUAUUGAAUGGUGUUACACAACAAUUGUUCUAAUGCAACUGUGGUGUUCUCUUUGUCAACAAGAAACUUAACUUAUUUUCCAUUUUAAUGUCAACAUUUUUUGUCUAUGUCCUUCAAAUGCUAUAAGACAAGGAAGUUAAACAAACAAAUUGCAAAAUAGGGUAUUACCACUAGGAAAUACUUUUCAGGUCCUUUAAUUAAAUAUUGAUGCUGCGCCUCAUUAUUGUAACUACAGUUAGGCCAAACUAGGCUUCUUUGAUCUCAGUUUCUUCACUAUUUGAAUAUAAAAUAUAUCUUUCAGUUGUCCGACUUUUGUAUUCAUUUGACCCAUUGUGGCACAGGUGCACAUUGUAGCACAGUUGUUUUCUUAGUAUCUGUUGGAAGAGAGUGAUAAAAAAAAAUUCCUUGACAUCCAGAUUCCUGUUGACAUAACUGAAGCCAAGACUGAGCCUCAUGGAACAACUACAAGAAUUACAAGAAAACAAAAUAGUUGGUUUUGUUUGCUGAAGGACAUAAUAUGGAUUGAUACUGGCCAUUUUAGUUCCUGAAGACGAGGUAAGUUUAGCAAUAACUAAAUUAACUCUGACUUCAACAAGCACUAAUUUGUGUUCUGUCACUGAUAAACCACAAAGCAUGUGUGAAGAGCAUGCCUUUGAAUGCAUACCACAUGGUGGUGAGAAUCAUCCCACAAAAAGUGUUGUGUGUACAACUUUUGACAGUAGUUUUUGUGGUAGUGAUAAUAAUACAGGUUACAGAUAUGAAAGAGUUUUGCUUUAAAAACUUUAAAAGCCGGUUUUCAGCAGUAAGAUGGAAGCAUAUUUGGUUAGCACCAUUAGGUAGGAUGAAAUAUAAUCAUAAAAGGUCAAAAACCAGUACAUUACAGGUCAAGGAAUGUGAGAAAUAUGUUAAUUUGUGAUCUCAUGUGAAAUUAGAAAUAGUCAUACUUUAAAUAAAGAAAAUUGUGAACAACCCUGUAUACCAAAUGGCCUGACAAGUUAGCAACAUUGCAGCCUGCUUGACAGUUCCAGUAAUCAAUAUUUGCAUUAAUUUCCUAGCUUUAAAAUGCACAAAGUAGUCUGAGAUGAAGGAGGUUCUCAGAGCAAACAAAGUUAUUAAACCUCUGCAUAUGUGAGACAAACCCCUACAGGCCAUUGGUUGAUGAGGAACCUUGAGGGAAAAAUCUCUUUGACAAUAUAUAUGGUCUUUCUUGUAGAAACUUGUAACUGAGUUGGUUAUAAUCUUUUUCUGUCUUCUAGGCCAUUUCAACCACUUAACACUUGCAAAUCCAUUUUGAAGGUAUAUAUCUUACAAUGUAUUUUCCCUAUUUUCUCUAUUUACCCUUCAGAAAACAUUCACCUUAUUGUAGUAUAUAAAUCAUCAUCUAUAGAUAACAGACCAUUUUAAUGUAAUAACUGGUAACAAGAUUCGGAAGUUUGGGAUUUGCCAUUUGUGGCUAACCAAUGUUUGAUAAUAAAUGACCAUGUUAUAAAUGUGUAGAGGAGUUUAAGUUGUGUAGCUGUUUCUGGGUCCUUAAGAUGGAGUCAGAUACAGCAGAACUCUGAUGAAAAAAACAGCUAUCUAAGUAUUGUCAUCUGAUCACAAAAAUGGACAUUUGGGUGGAUGACUGGUAUAAUAAUUUCAUUAGGCUUUCUGGAAAUUUCUGGAGCUGCUGAAGCUGCAAUUCAGAAUAUGGAAUUUAUGACUGUUUACCACUGAAAUCUAAGAUGGGUAUCAUAAGUCAUGUGAAAACUGGUUUACAUAUGGUGUGUAAUCUUUUGCUACUAAGAUACUGGGAAAAUACCUUGAGAAAGCAAUCAGGUAACUUAAAUAAUAAAGAAGAGAUGCUAGACUCAUAAAUAAACACUGAUGAACAAAAGAGUUUCCUGUUUUGCUUUUCUGAAAAGUGUUCUUCCUCCAUCAAAGUGCUUCUGUAGUAAAUCUAACCCUUUAGGCAUUUAAUCAUUUUAUGUGGGUGUCUCGUAAAUGUCUGUAGCUCACACUGGAAGCCAAGUGAUCUUACAGUAAAUAUCAUGGCAAUAAGAUGAUGAAUCUUUGUGUCUUGUUAAAAUGAUGACUUGGAUUACUUGAUUAUCACUAAGGAAAGGCAUUUUACAAAAAGCCAGGGUGCUGAGAAUAUUAGUAUUUACAAAAUAAAGAAGAGCAGGUAAAAUACCUAUCAACCUGUCCUUAGGCCCUAUACAAAUUCAAAUAUAAAUACAUACGUUGUAGCAAAGUGCAAACACUCCUAUUCGUCAUUUUUCAUCCCAGCACAUUCCUGUCUUUCUCUAAAAUAGCAUUGGAAUAAAGAAUUUGCCUAAAUGAAAAUAAAGUAUAUGCAGUGAAAAACAAUUACUUUAUAAAAUACAGGUAUACAAUAAAUAGUGUAAAAUGGGCAAAAAAAUUCUUAGGUAAACUAUAACUGUGGGAAAUGGAGUAUCAGUAGUUUAAAAGUGUUUGAAUAUCUGAAUCAUCAAAUCUUAGCAAAUGUAUUAGUCAUUUACUAUGUUAAUGAACUGUUUAAACAGCUGUAUAGUUUAAGAGAAAAAAAUAAGCAUUUUCAAAAUGUGAGAACUACUGUUAGAUAUUAAAGGUUUAGUAUGUACUCAGGCUCUCAUUGCUAGUCAAAUACUUUUUCAUGUGCACUACUUUUGUGACAGUCAUGAAGUUUUCAGGAUUUAUGUUUUAACUGAAAAACAGGCUCCCUAGUGAGUAAUGCAGUCUCCUACCAGUCAUGAUGAGCAAGCUACGAUCACUUUAUAAAGGAUUAGGCCUGAGUUAUAAAUUAAGUACUUUGGGCUACAGUCUUCCAGUGUGUGCUAGCUUCAGAGGUUUGCUUCAGGCUCCUUACUCUAAGGAAGUUGUUAGAAAACAUCAGAAUGAGGUUCACUUUUGGGAGGGGGAAAAAAUAAAAUAGCAAGAUAGUAUGCCUGUGGAAAAAUCUAUUUAAAAGAAGUAAAAAAAGAUGAUUCAAACCUGGCAGUGCUAACAGAAAACAAAUAUGAUGACUUUGCAUUGUUGAACAGCAGCCAAAAGACCAAUAUGAACUUAGGCUGUUUACAGAAGAUAGGCAUUCAGCUAGACAUCAGGAGACCUGAUCUGUGCGGUCUGUCUCUGAGCUGCUGACCUCGGGCAAGUCAUUUGUCAUAAGUGUAUUUUCUUUCCCAUCUUUAAAACUGGAACAAAAUGUUCUUUAAUGCUCUAAGAAAACUUGGAAUUGGAUAAAGUUUGUAUGUAGCUCCUCAGGUCAACUGACAGUACCAGCUACAACAGGUUACUCGGCUGUAUUUUUUGUUCUUUAAAAAAAGUUGAAUAAGGAGAAGGAAAGCUUUGACAGAGAACCCAAACCUGUUUAUCACCCAUACUCAGAUGGUUAUCUAAACCUAACAUCAUUUUCAGCUCUAUGCUAUAAUCCUUGCUUGUAGAAAAUUUCUACCUAUAUAUUGCUCAUAUUUUUCAGUACAAGCUUAUAAUUUUCAAUUAUUCUCACUUCUGUUUCCUUACUAUUCCUCCUGAGUCACAAAGACAUCUUUAAGAAUGGUAGGGUAUCUGUCUGCUCUGACGUGUGAUCCUUCACAAGCUGCAGGUGGAUCUCUGCUCCACUGUGGACCUUCAGGGGGACAGCUGGCCUUACCAUGGUCUACACUAUGGGCUGCAGGGGAAUCUCCACUCCAACACUUGGAGCACCUUCUCUUCUCCUUCUUCACUGAUCUUGCUGGCUGCAGAGUUGUUUCACGUAUUCUCACUCCUCUCUUCUAGCUGCUGUUGCACAGCAGUUUUUUUCCACUUCUUUUUCUGGCUGGCAUUGGCUCUGUCCAACACAGGGAAGCUUCUAGCAGCUCCUCACAGAAGCCACCCUGGAGACCCCCUGCUACCAAAACCUUGCCACGCAAACCUAAUACUCAGGGUACUAGCUGAUGUGUGCCUCUAAGGUAAAAACUUGUUCUAUCAGUAUUUCAGCAAGUGAGUCAUUCCACCAAAUGACAAAUUUAUCUUGUUGGAUGAUUUUCAAAUGGACAGUUGUUGAAUCUUAAUGUGUGGUCCAAGAUAGUCAUGGUGAUAUCAGGAAAACUCAUAUUGUUAAUAUAACAGAGCUAGGCAAUCAUCAACAGGACAAGUAUUUCAAAAAGAUGACUAGAGGAAGAUGAUGGGAUGACAAUGAAUCAAAAGUUAACAUAUCCUUGAUAUUGUCUUUAUGAAUGCCUUUUCAUAGGUCAGUGUCAGUUACUUAACUGAUGCAUGAUGCAAUUUGCUCAUCAGAUGAAGAGUUAAUGCAAAGUUGGGUGUCACCAUCAGCCACCAAGCACUUGCAACACACUGGCUGAAAGUGUUACCCUGCAAACUUUGCUUGAUCUGGGUAUUGAAAGCAGCUGUCAGCAAGCUGCUAGAGGCUAUUUUAUGUAUCAGUUACAUUUAACAAGUCGCUGAGAGGUAGGCGAAUGACACAUUGCAAAGAUAUUCUCAAGAGAGUUGGGCAGCAGCAUCUUCUCAACACAAAAGACAAAGAUCAUCUUUUGACGUCAAUCGAUAUUCUCUGUGAACUCAAAGCUCCAGCUAAACUGGAACAGUGAACAGCACAGGCAGUGUCAAAAACUGUCCUGUCUUUGUGAGGACUGUGAUACACUGUGACAUCUGUGAAGACUGGACUAAUUUUUCAUCAAUAGUUACACUCCAAUCUGCUGUAUUAUUGGAAAAAAUGUACAGACACAUUUCAAGUUUUUUUUUUUUGAGAAAAUAUUAUAUAUGUGUGAAGUAUCAUUACACUGAAUUAAUGAAAGUUGAAAAGUUCUUUGUAAAUGGGAUGAUUUCCUCGAGAAUAUCCUUGCAGUGUUUCAAUUUACAUAGAAUUUGCUCUAAAAAAACCAAAUUUCUAGAUCUUACUCAGUGAGGUAAGUGUUAGCUUUCUUUCAAAAGCUGAGACACAAAAAGGAUAAAAUGAUUUCCACGGGGCUGAAAUUUAUCAUGUAUAAGGAAAGUUACUGUUUCUUUGGUUCUUCUUUAAAGCAGAAGAAGUUUUCUGUGGAGUUUAAUAUUCUAUAGUGUUCUUUCCAUUUAACUGCUCUUCAGUAUGCAAUAAACAAUAUUGUUUCUAAAUGCAAUGACUGAACUGUAAUUGCAUUAGCAAUUGAACCAUAACUACCCUAGUAUUUAUGCAAGAUCCUUUGGAACCAAAAAAUGAAAAGUUACAAUCUUGGGUAGCUACUUUUGGAAUGAUUGCUUACAAUCUAAACCACUGUUAAUCUUCAAAACAGUGCAUAACUCCAAAAUAUUCAAACCUGUCAAAAUAUCAUUAUUGUGCCAAUGUUUUAUUUCAUUUCAGGAUCAGUAAGUGUGCAAAAGCACAUUAGAAGUAACCCUUCAAUAGAAAAAUCUGGCAUCUCUCUUUCCCUUUUUUGUCUCUGUUCUUCAAAUGAUAGAGAUGGUGUUUUACUCAGUAGGGGGAAGUGGUGAGAAUAGGUUUCUUAGCUGCAUAUAUGUAUAGUUAUACUUAUGUUGCUAAGUUCAUACUGUAAUAUUGAUGAUAUGUGCCAAGAGCUGAACACAGGCUCCAAAGUUAAAUUGUUUAGCCUGAGAUAAAUACAUAGCCAGAGGACAGGGCGUAAAUGCGUUAUUAUCCAGAAAACGGGGAAUCCCUGACUUCCAGUAAGUUAUUGCUAAGGUGUAUGACAAGAUGAUGGAACAAAACCUUGUCAUCCGUUACCACUUAUUUUAUUUUAUAAGUUAUUCAGACAUCUGUGUUGUGAUUUCAGUUUGUGUAUUAAGCUAGUUUUGUACUGAGUUCCUUGCUACUGUGGAAGCCAAGAAGUCUGGGAACCAAAGGAGAUGAAGAGGAUCAAGCAAAGUAUGCACUGAAGGGUUUCAGAGAACAACACAUUUUGGCAUUGUUUUAAUUGUCUGUCUUAGGCAGAAUUAAUCACAUCAAAUGUAAUAGAAGUUCAAUACAGUAAAAGGUUUAGUUAGAAAUUAGGUUUUAACAUUAAUAUACUCCAUGUAUUUAUUAUAAUAUGUACAAAUAAUACAAGGUUAGCUCUUUUUUCCUAAACACUAGGUGAACACCUAGAAGAAGAUAGUUUCUAUUUUGAAGAUCUUUUCACAGGACACAAAAUGCAAAUGGUGGAUAUAUAAAAUGCUGUUACAUAUACUGUGUAAUAAAUGCUGUGAAAAGCAGACUGUGGUAAUGUUAUGGGGUCUUUUCUUUUUUUUUCCCUUUGGUAAGAAUUGAUUAGGAGGACAUCUAGCGAAUAGUAGAGAGUAUAUAGAAGAGGAGGAGAGGUAAGGACAUACAGAGAGAAAAGUGAAGAAAUGGAAGCAUGAAUAUGAAGGAGAGUGUGGAAACGAAGUGAAAAGAGAUGAAAAGGUAUGGAGCAUAACUGAAGUACCCAGCCCACCAGUAACUGGUGGAGAAAAGCCAGUCAAAGCUGAUGACAUUUUCACUCACUUAAUAACAGCCUUUGAAGCUACAGUAAUAAUCUUAAUUUCUUCUCCCCAGAGAUUUUUUUCUAGAUGAUUUGCUGGGUGAGAGCACAUCACAUUUAAUCUAACAUCUCCUGAGGGAACUAUUCCAGUGCUUUCCUGUGCCCACAGAUUUUGAAGUUAGGGAUUACUUUGGAUAGUUGCACUUUACUGGCUGGCAGCUAAUAUUAAUUUCAUACCUUGUGUCUUAUCCUACCUUGUUCUGUUUUUUAUUCUGUGUGGAAGAUUGGCUAUUUGCAGUGCAUAAUGUUUUCAAAUUUUACCAUGUCUCUCUUCAUACAUUAUUCACCAAUAAUAUUCUGAUUGUAUAAAUAUGUUUGUUUUGGGACUUACUCACUCAACACUUGUAUACAAACAUAUCAGGCUAUGUGUUAUUCAUGAACUAUUUGUUUUGAUUUUAAGUCCUGUGUCUUUGUAGCACAAUUGCAGUGAAUGCUCUGUAUUAUUAUUGCUUCCCCUUCUGUUCAUAAUAGGUUAAACUCAAUUUCUUGCUGUCCACAUGGAGAAUUGUGAACUAGGCACACAGCAAUUGCAAGGCUAUUCUUUUUCUGGCAAGAGAAAUAAAAUAACCUAUUUUUUAAAAUGGAAAAGGUUCUCCACAAUGUCAAAUUAAAUUCAUAGUUUUUAUUCAAAUGAAUGCAAAUAAGCAUGUUUUCACAGUAUUUACUUAUGGAAUAGAAUUGAUAAAUGUGCUCUAAGGAGAAAAUGGUGUUAUAACUUAGCCAUGGACAUGAGGACUGUAUCUCGAGUAAAAGUAAUAACUGUGGUUUCACUGUCCUGCCAUUGUUGGCUGUAUUGGAAAAAUACUGGAAUCUACUGUCCUCUUUGCAAAGGCUGUCCACCCUCCCAUAGAACAUGGCAGUGGAGCACAGGUUUUUACAGACUGAGGGAGGAUGGUAGCAGCCAGGGAAGUUGCUGUUUUACUAAUCCAUAAGCAAAAUAAGUAUUUGUCUUACCCUAGUUCUGAAUUUUUGUCUGAGAACCUGAUCUGCAACUGAGACAAACCCUGAGAAUUUUACUCUCUUCCAUUAACCUGCUUGUCUUUUUUAUCAGGAGGAAGUCUUAGAUUCAUGUUAAAAUAGAAUGAAUGGCUCAAUAUGGAGUAAUUUUAAAAUCCAUGACAUCUAUUUCUAAAUUACUUGGCUGAUCUAUUUUGCAUGGAAAAAGCUGAAUAGAGACUGAACAAAGACAGUCUUGUGAAGGAAAAUAGGGGAACAGGCUUUUUAACUGACUACAACCUGAAGUGAAACAUGCCAAAAAAAGUAAAGUUACUUGGGAAACUGAACAAAUAAGAGCACAGACUUGAUUUGUGAAACUUUCCAGGUUGCAGAAAAGUAACAUUAAAAAAAAAGAUUCCACAAAGAAAGGCAUAACUUAUGUAUUGGUUGGAACUUACAGGCAAAUUAAAAAUAGGCAGAAAUAUCCCAUGAGAAGGGUGAUGAAGUAUUUUAACAAACUACCAAUAAAAAUGAUUAAUUCCGUGUCUUUUCUAAAUCAAAACCAGAAAUUACAUUUCUGCUACAUCCACUUUGUUGACUCCAGUACAGAUGGAUGUAUAUCUUUGCCUGCAUUGCAAAAGAGGUCAUGUUACGUGAUUUUCUAGCUUCAAAAUCAAUUCCGCUGUUGUAUAGGUGUUCCAAUAGGAUGAACAGAGGGGAAAGGGAACAACCCUGAUGUACCUGUGCAUCCAUGACAGCUCCAAUAUCUUUUAUUACUUCUUCAGCAGGCAGAAGAUUGCUCUGCAACCACUUCUCUCCUCUUGCUGCUCUGGGAAGUCUCUCUCUCCUGACCUGUAGGAGAAUUUGCCAUUUGAGCUGCUUGCGGAAAUCGCAUCGGGCUCAUCCAGCCUCACAAGUAUUGCCAGCCCUGAGAGGGAUUUGUGUAGAGACACAUCGCAUGUAUCUGUGGCUGACUUUAUUUAUGGAAUAGAUAAUAGAGAGCAGGCUACACUAACAAGCCUUUUUGUGACAGGUAACCUCUGGAUCUCUGAGAAUAUUUUUAUUGACAUACUGCCUGCAUGAUGUAUUGUAAUCUCUUCCCUUAAGCUGCCCUUUCACAUGUGAAGUAGUGGCAGGCUUCACACAAAUACAAUUAGUAUGUAUGUAAUAGGUUUGCCAUAUUUAGAAUAUAUGAAAGCUAGCUGGCAUAUAAUUUUAUUUAAUUGAACUGAACCCAUUAAUUUUCUGCAAUGGAAUUCCAAUUUACAGCAAAUAUAUCAAGUGACAGACAGACUUUUAGAAAGAGGUUAAGACAAACAGUUUUUCAACAGACGGGUGAAUGCUGGUAAUAUGAGAAAUUGCCAUUUAUUUAAGAAACACGAGCCUUCAAAAAUCCCUUUGUGAUAUCUUGCCUCCAUUUUGCUGUGGUAUGAAUGUGACAGUAAAUAUUAGCACAGGGUAAUAUCAAAAUGCAACUCACAGAAUCAAUAUAUGACAACUAUAACGGUUGCUAGAGACAUGUUAGAAUCAAAUUGCUACUGUUAAUAGCAGCUUCAUGACUUAAAACAGAUGUUUUAAUUGUGCAGAUUGGUUAGGCUCCUUCCAAACAGCUGUUGAGGUCACUGGCCAGUGCUCUUGGUGAAAUCUGUCCAUGUGCUAAGCUUCCCUGCAGACCGUUGCACAGUCACCUUUAAAUCGAGGAACAAAAGGGAUUUUAAACAGAGAACUUCUGCCAAGUCUCUGCUUCUGUGUGAAUUUCAUUUAAAAUUAUUAUAAAUGUACAUUUUAGUAUUACAAAUCAAACCUCUGCAU
Long non-coding RNA from Columba livia (rock pigeon), 17626 nucleotides. RefSeq lists it as uncharacterized. The record is from RefSeq and is a predicted model, not a curated record. NCBI's taxonomy places the organism in Eukaryota, Metazoa, Chordata, Aves, Columbiformes, Columbidae. The transcript is spliced from 5 exons.